GAAGCUGGCCAGGCAGCCGCUGCGUGCGUACAGAAGCGAGCCUUUACGAUGGCUCGUGCCGCACGGAGAGGAAAGUCCGGGCUCCACAGGGUAGGGUGGCGGCUAAUCACCGCCCGCCGUGAGGCGAGGAACAGGGCCACAGAGACGAGUCUCGUUGCGGGCGACCGUGGCGAGGGUGAAACGAGGCAACCUCCACCCGGAGCAACACCAAAUAGGCAAGCGACGACGCGACCCGCCGAGCUUGCGGGUAGGUGGCUCGAGCCCCGGAGCAAUCCGGGGCCUAGAGGAAUGGCUGCCAGGGCCGCGAGGCCCGCACAGAACCCGGCUUAUCGGCCAGCUUUCCUU
RNAcentral lists this RNase P RNA (345 nucleotides) under Betaproteobacteria bacterium. Its description in RNAcentral is "RNase P RNA component class A". It matches the Rfam family "Bacterial RNase P class A". Rfam says of the family: Ribonuclease P (RNase P) is a ubiquitous endoribonuclease, found in archaea, bacteria and eukarya as well as chloroplasts and mitochondria. Its best characterised activity is the generation of mature 5'-ends of tRNAs by cleaving the 5'-leader elements of precursor-tRNAs. Lineage: Bacteria; Pseudomonadati; Pseudomonadota; Betaproteobacteria. The record is from RNAcentral.